AAGAAGAAAUUAUGUCACGUGACCGAAGAGGAAGUUGUAGUGGCGAUGAUACAGAGGGAGAGCGCGCUGAAAGAAGUUAAAUACGGCAUGUUUUUAGCGUUUUUGAGGAUGGAGGGUCAUAUUUAUGGCGUUGCUGAAGAAAGAGCACCAGCACCCGAAUCUACGUCAUCAAAGAAAAGGAAAUACGGCACCGAGAAACGUGUUUCGCGGCAGACGCCGAGAGAUAACGACAGUAAACGUCGCUGUUACCGAGUGGAGUGAUGAGAAGGACGACAGCUGAGAUGAGGAGCAUCUUCCACCAGUUACAGUGUCGGGUAUGUUGUCAGUCAGACUACAAUCUCUUUACAGUCACAGUCAGAACUGACAGGAAAGAAUCAUGGCUAUGUUUUACACAGCUGUACUAAAUAAUUCAACUGUUAAACUUUAAGUGUAAAAUCUUUUCUUGUGUUCUUUUGUUUCAUUCACACCAACUGCUUCGUCUUCAGUCGUCCAGUGUAGAGGACAGAAUUCUGCUCCUGCCCUGAAAGAAGAGAAGACCUAAACCGUCAUCCCUGAGCUACAAGCAAGGACCGUGCAGAGCGCUCAACCGAGGAGUGAGGACGCGUCAACAUCAGAGACUUUGACCAGGUGACCACGGACGGCCUGGUUUAGUUCAACCCAGCCCUGCACCGUCCACGUCAGUGUUGAAGUCAGGAGAGGUCUGGGACCUGACUUCCAUUUGGCUGAAUGAAGUGAAACUUUUUGAAAUGCAACUGGCAUAAAGAUGGAACAUACUGUAUUUUUGUUGUUAGUAUUUAAUAUAAGAAAUCAUUGCCAUUUUAGCUGAUGUCUAAUUUUAUUAGCCUUGGUGGUUUUGAUAUUCAACCUGCAAUUUAACAUGGGCCUGUUAUUAAUUCUAUUUGAGAAUAUAAAAAGAAAGAUGCCUUUUUUUACUUCACAGGAGGGAAACUGUUUAAAGUUUAAAGAAAGCCAAUAAAACAGUUUUUGAAUUUAAAUAUAA
Molecule: long non-coding RNA, 1000 nt
Organism: Solea solea (common sole)
Lineage: Eukaryota; Metazoa; Chordata; Actinopteri; Pleuronectiformes; Soleidae
Exons: 3
Source: RefSeq, a predicted model, not a curated record